UACGUAGGGGACGAGCGUUGUCCGGAAUCAUUGGGCGUAAAGCGCGUGUAGGCGGCUCAGUAAGUCUUGCGUGAAAUCCUGAGGCUCAACCUCAGGCGUGCGCGGGAUACUGCUGAGCUAGAGUCCGGAAGAGGAGUGUGGAAUUCCUGGUGUAGCGGUGGAAUGCGCAGAUAUCAGGAAGAACAUCUAUGGCGAAGGCAGCACUCUGGGACGGUACUGACGCUGAGACGCGAAAGCGUGGGGAGCGAACAGG
This 253-nucleotide ribosomal RNA is filed under the name uncultured bacterium. Its description in RNAcentral is "partial 16S ribosomal RNA". It matches the Rfam family "Bacterial small subunit ribosomal RNA", at positions 524 to 776 of the family's 1533-position model. The record is from RNAcentral.